This 20765-nucleotide long non-coding RNA is filed under the name Lynx pardinus (Iberian lynx). The record is from RNAcentral. Lineage: Eukaryota; Metazoa; Chordata; Mammalia; Carnivora; Felidae.
CAGAUAUCGUCUCUUCUUUUGACCACUGUUCCUGAUUGUGGCUUUGUCCAAGCAUUAAAUUGCGUGCCUUUUGUUCCUUGAAGAAGGAGGUAUGGUAAAGAUUGAAGUAUUAUAGUAGUAGUCUAUUAAGCAGUAAGUUAAUAUGUUUUGAUAUGGGACAAAAAAAUAAGAGUUACGAGUUUUCAUAAGUUAUAGUUUUAUGUUUGGCUUAAAUAAAAAAUACAGAUUUCCUUUUAAUGUUGGCAGAAAAGGUAGUUUUGGUUUCCUAGUUUGUUAUUUAACAUUUCAUUAGAAAUCUAAAGAUAAUUUAAGCUGUAUUUUUCUAAACAUAAAGACAACAUUAAGGGCUUCUGGGUAAUGAACGAUGGAGACAUAUAUGGUAGGAAGAUGUUUUGAAGUUGUAUAAAUGACCAGAAGAGUGUUUGUGUUUUGCUCUGGUAAGUGUAAAGUAAUGCUCCUAAAAAAAACCCCCGAUAUUUAUAUCAUGAUUAACGGUAUCUACAUUAUGAAUCAGGAAAGAUAUUUGGGAAUCACUGUGGAGUUAUGACUUGUUUCCUGAAGGCAAUCAUCUGAACAUCCUGGUGUGAACAAAAAGAAGGGGGAAAAUCUGCCAUCGAAUCCAUGGUAUUGUAAGGAAAGCUUUGCAAACUCAGUGGAAAAUAUUGUACUCUUGUACAAAAAUACAGUUUAUCUACCGUGGAAGCACAGUUUUUCUUGCUGUUUGUUUUGGGUAGGUACUGAGAUACCACAGUAUUAUAAUUCCCCUCACCAAAUGCAAUAAGUAUACCCAGAAACAUAACUCUAAAUUAGAAAUAAGAUUAUGUACGGGACACCCGGGUGGUUUAGUUGGUAGAGUGCCCGACUUCAGCUCAGGUCAUGAUCUCACGGUUCACGAGUUUGAGCCCCAUGUCAGGCUCUGUGCAGACAGCUCAGAGCCUGGAGCCUGCUUCGGAUCUCUCUCUGCCCUUCCCCAGCUCACUCUGUCUCUCUCUCUCUCCCUCUUUCGAAAAUAAAUAAACAUUAAAAAAAAUAAGAUUAUGUAUAUAACUACUAAAAAAGUGGAAGAGGACUAUACCAACUGAAAUUAUUACUUUACUAAUCAUAACCAUGUUUUGCCAUGAGUUUUACUAGCAGAUGGUUUUCUUUUCAGGGUCAUUUUUCACAAAGGCAGGAAUGUUUUAUUUUAUUAGAAGUUAAUAUCUAACAACUACAGUGAGUACAAAGCAACAAAGCUUAGAUACCAGGUUAUUAUUUAUGUUCAUUUAUAUGUGUAAUUUCUUCCUACAUAACAAUUGUUUGACCUCUAACUGAAUUAGGUUUGCAUGGGUACUGUGUUGUUUUCUGAAUAAAGUAAAUGCUGAGUGCUAAAAAUUUUCUUUACUGUGUUUGAUCCAAAAUUCUCAGAAGAAGUUACACAAUGAAGAGUGAGAACUUCAAAUGUAAUGAAGUAAACAAGAGGCUGCUGUAUGAUGACUUACCAAAAUGAUUUGGAUUAUUCCAUCUUGAAAAAUUGUGAGCAGAGUCUGACUAAAUUUUAAAUUUACUUUUUAUUUUUUUAAGUUUACUUACUUAUUUUGAGAGAACACGUGAGAGAGAGAGAGAGAGAGAGAGAGAGUGCAAACAGGGAAGGGGGCAGACAGAGAGGGGGAGAGAGAGAAUCCCAAGCAGACUCUGCACCUUCGCAAGGAGCCUGAUAUGGGACUCGAACCCAUGAACCAUGAGAUCAUGACCUGAGCCAAAACCAAGAGUCAGGCGUUUAACUGACUGAGCCAUCCAUGUGUCCCUGACUAAAUUUUAAAAUCGUGAUCGGUAUGACUGCAUGAAAUAGGUAUCAGAAUUAAGUUGCAUGACUUGAAGCUUAGGAUAAUUAAGUAGGUCUCACGUGGGUCUUAUUUUAAGAAGUGGUAAUAGCCAAAAACAAAUAUUGGCUUUGUGGAAAGUCUAGUAAGUGCAAAAUGUGGUAAAAUCGUCACCAAUUCCUAAUUAAAAUUGGGUUGUUAGAGGUUAUAGCUGGUAGAAAAAAAUUAGGCAUAUAUAUGUUUUUGUUGACCUUGAACAAUGUGGGGGUAGGUAGAUUUCCAAUUCCAUGCAGUUGGAAAUCUGUGUGUAUUCUUUUGACUCCCCUAAAAUUUAACUGCUAUAAGCCUUCUGUUGAUUGGAAGCCUUACUGAUAGCAUGAACAGUUGAAUAACACAUACUUUGUAUAUGUGUUAGAGGCUGUGUUCUUAAAAUAAAUGAGGAUAAAGUAGGCUAGAGAACAGAGAGUGUUAUUAAGAAAAUCAUAAGGAAGAGAAAUAUAUAUUUGUAGUACUGUAUUGAAAAAAAUCUGUGCAUAAGUGGACCUGUGCAGUUCAAAGCUGUGCUGUUCUAGGGUCAGCUGUAUGCUAAUUUGCUCAACUCCGUACCUCUUCAUUUGGGGAAUCAUCUCUUCGCCUAUCAUGUGUGGUUGAUAGGCUGCCUGUCAGUCGUAUACUCUUAUAACCCAAACCUAGUCAUCCCUAUUGCAACAGUGAUUGCGUAUUGAUCCAGCAGAGCCAAUUAGAAUCCUGUGACAUUGAUGUAUGAAUGCUAGGAGAAAGAUGCUCCCUUUUUUUCUGAAGUUAUUAAUCUGGGUGUUAGUAGGAUUCUUAUUAAUUAAUUCAGAUUAACUCUUAUUAAUCUGGGUGUUAGUAGUAGGGUGUUAGUGCAUUCUUUCCCACAUGUAUAAGAACCCUAUAUGUAGUAGGAGAAAGUGAAACCAUAAAUAAAUGGGAGAUAGGUUGAGGUAGCAUGCCAAUUUCAGUUCCAGGGACUGUGGUAUGAGAUAUCUAUGGUUUUCUUUUGAUUCUGUCAGCUACCGUGGUGUCCUUUCCAGUCCCAUGAGCCAAAAUUUUAUAUAUAAAUUAGUUUGAAUUGGAUUGCAGCAGAAAAUGUUCUGAUGAAUGUUUGGCCCUUAUGAAUUUAAGGUCUAUAGCUUCAAGUUGACCAUGUCCAUCUACAAUUUGCCCUUUUCUUCCACCUUAUGAAGAAUGCCCAUUAUUCAUUCAUCAUUCAUGUAUACAUUUAGUCCUUCAUUCAACCUACAAACAUUUGUUGAGUGUCUACUAUGUACAAGUAUGUGCAGCUGCCUGGAUAGUCAAGGAUUGUACCUACUUGCUGAGGAUGAUGGACUUCCUUUAAUGUAGCACAUUUUUAUAUACUUAGGUUACACAGGUCAACAAGAGUGUGAUGAGAAUAAUCAGUGCUGUGCUCAGCAUUUUAGUAAUAUGAAAGAAUAAAAGGAAUUGUUUGCCUUCAAAGUGUUUACAGUUUAGUUAAGGAAUCCAGAUUAAUGUGUAUGAAAUGACACAAACAACAGGUAAAUGCAUAUACAUUCAUGUAGUCUGGAUAUUAAAUCUGAGUUCUGAUAGAAAGGAAAUUAGUGAGGGCUAGAAGGUUUCUUCAAGGAGGUAUGAGCGCAAAUAAGUUUUAACUUAUGAGUCAUUUUGAUAGGCACAGAAUAAUUGAGGAAAGGAUGGAGUUGAAAAUGACUAAGGACUGAUCCAAGAUAGGGAGGAGAUUGGUUUGACUGUAACGGUUUGUAUUUUGGGGAAAUGAGAGGUAGUGAUAAUAAGGUUGACUAUUUUAGGUAAAUCCACGUAUGAGGCAUUUGGAAAGCCAAACAAAUUUUAUUUUCUGUUAAGGUGGAGAUUGCUUUGAAUAAAAUGUUUAUAUUUCUUUGAUGCCAUUUUUGUGAUGCUAAGGUGCAAAAUAAGUGUAAUCAAGUGAUGGAAAUUUACUUGUUGUGGAAAACAACUUGUUAUAUUUUCUGCCUUGGAAAUUUUUUAUUUUUAUUUAAAAAGAUUUUUUUUAACAUUCAUUUUUGAGAUAGAAAGAGUGAGCGUGGGAGGGGCAGAGAGAGAGGGAGAGACAGAAUCUGAAGCAGGCUCCAGGCUCUGAGCUGUCAGCACAGAGCCCUAUGCGGGGCUCAAACCCACAAACCGUGAGAUCAUGACCUGAGCCAAAGUUGGAAGUUUAACCGACUGAGCAAUGCAGGCACCCCUGCCUUGGAAAUUUUUUAAAAACAAUCAUUAAUUUGCGGUGUUGUUCUGUUUUAUACAUAUUAUACACAUAUAUAUAAAAUUGGUUUCUUUUUUCUUACCUGCCCCUUUUUGAGAGAUCCCAUAGUAACAGUGGCAUAACCAUACCCUUCCUCUAGAGAAACAGCCAGUUCAAAACUAACGUUGCAAUAGAUGUAAAAGCAUUCUGAAAGAGAUAAGGAAUUAAAUUAAUGUUUGAUUGCUCACAUAACAAUUGUUUUGAGCUCCAGAUACUAGGAAUGAUGUAUAGGUUAAUGUGUCAUUCUUUCAUUAAAUGCUGUUGUUAACUUCACCCUUUUUCAGUAACCAGUUAGCUGAUAUUCAACUCAAGAGAAUUAACAUUUGGAACAUUCCUGUAUACCAGGGUUGGCAGACUUUUGCCGUAAAUGGCCAGGUAGUAUAUAUUUUAGGCUUCGUUGGCAGUAUGAUCUCUACACCUAUCAGCUGCUGUUGGAACACGAUAGCAGCCAUAGACCAUAUGUAAAUGAACAAGUGUAGCUAUGUUCUAAUGAAACUUAAUUUACAAAAAGCAGCAGGCCACAUUUGGUGCACAGGGUGUUGGUGUGGACCACCUGUCAUAGAUUUAAUGAGACAUUUUAUGCCACAGCUUCUCAUAAUCGGAUCUUCCCACUAUCUUCCUCUCUAGUAACUAUGGAUCAGUUAUCUUUAUUAUUUUCUAAGUUUACCUCUCCUACUUGUUCACUUUUUUUUCCUUCAUCAUCACUUCUUAUCUUUCUGUUAUAUCAUUUUCAUAAGCACGUAAUCAUACUGUAAUUUCUCCCAGUUUAAAAAAACAAACAAAAAAUAACUCCAUUUCAAUUCCUUUGUCUUUUGGCCUUUUAUAGUAAAACUCCUUAAAAGGGUUGUCUCCCUUUUAUAGUAAAACUCCUUAAAACGGGGCACCUGGGGGGCUCAGCUGUUUGGGCGUCUGACUUGAUUUCAGCUCGAGUCAUAAUUUCACAGUUUGUGAGAUUAAACCCAUGAAUUAUUGUUAACAUGUCUCUGCUGGUGAUGUGGAGCCUGCUGGGGAUUCUCCCUCCCUUUCUGCCCCUCCCCUGAUUGAGCACGCUCUCUCUCUGUCAAAAUAAAUAAACAUUAAAAAAAAAAGUUAUCUGUACUGCAUCUAUAUCUCCCUUUUUUUCCUCCCAUUUUCUCCUAAAUCCAUGCUAGUCAUCCCUUCUAUAUAACCCCACUGAAACCAUUCUAAUCAGUGUCACCAAUGGUCUUGACAUUAAGUCCAGUGGUCAAUUCUCAGUCCUCAUCUUACUUGAGAGAGUUGAUCAAUACCUGAUCCUGGAAACACAUUGUUCACUGCUUUCAGGACACCACUCUCUUUACUUACCUCAUUGGUCAUUCCUUUCAUCCUUACCAGCUGGUUCUUUCUCCUCUUUUUCCUGUAAAUGUUGUAGCAUCUUGAGGCUCAGGCCUUGGACUUCUCUCUUUGUGUACUUACCCCUUGGUGAUUUCAUUCAAUUCUAUAUACAUGAAUACAUACACACACCAGUGAUUCCCAAAAUUUUAUCUUACAUCCAGACCUCCAUAUUCUGUAUUCAGCUACACAUCCACAUUUCCACUUGGCUGUCAGCUAGAUACCUGAAAUUCCACUAAAACUGAACUCUUGAUAUAUAUUUUAUACUUAUUGUUCCCACUCUGUCUUUUCUGUAUUAAUAAAUAGCAGUUCAUUUCUUCAUUUGCUGAAGUUGGAACUUUGGGAGUUAUCCUUGACAUGUCUCUUUCUCACAGACCAAACGGAGUCUGUCAGCAUAUCCUUUGGCUCUAUCUUCACAGCAUAUCCACGGCCUAACCGUAUCACAUUCUCUCCACCAAGCCACCGUCAUCUCUGACCUGGAUGUUGUAGUGUAAUUAUCUCCAAAGUGGUCUUCUUGCUUUUACUCUUACUUCCUUCCCAAAUACUUUGUUCUUAACAUUGUAGCCAAAGUGAUCUCUAAAAAAUAAUUCAGCUUAUGUUACUUCUUUACCCCAAAUGUUCCAGUAGCUUUUCAUCUUGUUUAUAGUAAAACCAAAGUCCUUGUAGUAUCCCUCAGGCCUUGUGUCAGUUCCCUCAUUACUUCUUUGACGUCAUCUCCUACUGCUUUCUUCCCUGUGCUGUUUUCUUGUUCUAGGCCUACCGACCUUGCUCUUCUCUGAACAUGCUAGGGACGCUCCAUACUCAGGGUGUUAGCACUCAUUAUUUCUUUUCUUGGAAUGCUUUCUGCCUCAACGUUUUAAGAUCUUGGCUUAAAUAAGACUUUUUCAAAUGAGGGCUACCUGACUUCAUAUUUAAAAUUGCAACUCUGAAUUCUGCCUAUUUUUCACCAUAGGUAUUUAUCACCUUUGAAUAUGUUACACAUGUCAUAUGUAAUAGGAAUUUACUUAUCUUGUUUAUUAUCUAAAUAGCUAGUAGAGUGUUAUGUCCGUGAGGGGAGGGGUUUUUGUCUGUUUUAUUCAUUGCUGUAUUCUCAAUACUUAGAACAAAGACUGGCACAGAUUUGGUGCUAGCUACAUGCCCAACACUAUGUCAGAUGCUGGUGGUAUAGCAAAAAACAUGACAGAUGUGUUCCUUAUACUUAUGCAGUUUUUAUUUCAGUGGUAACGACAGAUAGAAAAUAAAUUGUCAAAUAUAUAAAAUAUUGCCAGAGGAAAAAAAAGUGUUAUAAAAAAGAAAUACAAGGAGCUUAGAGAAUAAUAUUUUUCUGGUUGAGAAGCAACGCUUUAUAUGUUGGGGAGACCCUUCUGAGGUAAUGACAUCUGAGCUGAGACCUAAAAGAUGAGAAAGAUCUAGGCAUUUGAAAACUAGGAGAAAGACCAAUUCAAUUCAAGCAGGGAACAGCAGGUGCAAAGGUCUGAGAUAGGAAAGGAGUAUUUGAGGAACUGAGAGGCUAUCUGUGGUAGCUUGCUGGAGUGCAUUUACAGAUGAGGAAAUUGGUAUGAGGUGAAGUUUAGGAGAGAGGUCCAGGACCAGAUGUCACUGCUCCUUGUAAGUCUUGGCAGAGAUUAAAUUUUGUUUUAAGUGCUUUGGGAAGCCACUGUAGAUUUUAAAGCAGGGAGCGUUGUGAUCUAUUUUAUAUUAAGAUCACGUUUGCUCCUGUGUGGAGAAUGGAUUCACAGGAAGGUGGUGGGCAAGAGAGAAGCAUGAAUGCCAGUUAGGUUAUUUUAAUCCAAGUUAUAGAUGGCAGUGGACUGAGAAGAUGGUGGUGGAGGUGGAGAGAAUUCAAGAUGUAUUUUGGAGAUAGAAUUGACAGGACUUGCUUAUGGAUUAGUGUGGGAGUAAGAGAAAGAAGGCGCAGAAUGAUUCCUUCACUUCUGGGAUGAGUAACUGGAUGGAUUGCGGUGCCAUGUUACUAUGGUGGGGCAGCCUGGGAAGUGGAGUUUGUUUCUGUCCUUGAGGCAGGUGCUUUAUAGAGCCAGAGAAAAAUGAAAUAGUUUAUAUUGUUUUGAGAAGCAGAGGGGAAAUGGAUUACAUGUUGAUACAUGUUCUCCCAAUCGAAUAGCCAUAAAUCUUGAUUCCCCCCCCACCAUGUGUUCCAAAAUCUUAAGUAAACUCUGCCUACUCUGAGUUACUGCCACAACAAAAUGACAAAGAAGAAAGGCACGAGAGAUGAAAUAACCUUUCUCCUUCCCAUACUAAAUUUGGUGGUCUUUAUUUCACUUUGGAUAGAUUACUUUGAUUUUUCUCCCAAUUCCUACAUAUUGAAAAUGUGAUUUCUGACCAUGUGAGAGAGAACGUGCACGUGCGCGUGAGCUUGUGUGUGUGUGUUUAAAUCAAAUUCCAUUGCAGCAAAAAAAGUUUACGUGAUCUGUAAUGUUUGCUAUUUGCUAUAAAGUCAUUUAAUCUGAAAUCACAGGAAGUCAGAUAUUUGGGUUGCAAAUAAAAGAAUGAGUCGGGAGUGUGUUAGGACCCUGUGUACCAAUCAUCUUGACUUUCGUGAGGCAUAAAUGAAAAAUAUAAAAUAGAACUUCUCUUUAAGGGAGGUAAAACUUAAAAAAUGAAAUGAUGUAACUAUAAACCAGUGUAAUGAAGUGGUGAACAAUGGCUGUACUUUAAAUGGAUAUGCAGAGAAGGGAGAGAUUAAUGUGUAUUGCAGAAGGUUUCGUGUGCCUAUAGGAGGUAGAAUUAGACAGGAAGUUUGACUAGUAUGGAAUGAAGAUAGAAGGGGAUGACAAGCCUGGUGAGAGGAAGCAGGAUGAACAAAGAUAAAUAAAAGUGUAUGUGUAGGUAGUGGAUAGCAUCUUAGAUAUUGGGCACUGUACCUUAUGGAUAAUGAGCAGUCAUCAUCUCAGUAAUAAGAAAUAAGAUUAAGGGGUGUUUGGUGGCUCAGUCGGUUAAGUGUCCACUCUUGAUUUCCGCUCAGGUCAUAAACUCGAGGUUUAUGGAAUCGAGCCCGGUGUAGGACUCUGCGCGGACAGUACAGAGCCUGCUUGGGAUUCUUUCUCCCCCCACUCUCUGCCCCUCCCCUGCUCAUGCUCUGCCCCUCCCCUGCUCAUGCACAGAGAGCAUGACAGCUCUCUGUCUCUCUCUCUCAAAAUAAAUAAAUAAGCUUUAAAAAAAAAAAAGAUGAACCUGAACUGCUUCUGUAUUUUAAUUUUUCCAUUUUGUACUCCUUCAUAAUUGUAUCAGUGUCACUAGCCUACCUGAGUGGUACAUGGCUCACAUGUAUUCUCGCAUUUUGAACAUUUCUGAAUCUGUACUUCCUUACAUCUGCAUAUUUAACUCUUUAUUUUUCUUUUCUGUUUAAGUUGUUUAUUAGGCCACAAAGAUUUGGAGGGAGCUGGCUUUUAUUAUGUGUGUAUAUGUAUACAAUAUGUAUGUGUAUAUAUACAUAUAUAUACAAAAUAGAUACACAUACACAUAUAUAUGUAUUAUAUAUGUGUAUGUAUAUAUAUAUAUAUAUAUAUAUUCUACAAAAUUUAUUCUUUCACUUGUUUAAAAUAUGAUAGGUAUUAGGGGCGCCUGGGUGGCUCAGUCGGUUAAGCAUCCAACUUCGGCUCAGGUCAUGAUCUCGCGGUCCGUGAGUUCAAAACCCCGCGUCAGGCUCUGUGCUGACCACUCAGAACCUGGAGCCUGUUUCAGAUUCUGUGUCUCCCUCUCUCUCUGACCCUCCCCCCGUUCAUGCUCUCUCUGUCUCAAAAAUAAAUAAACGUUAAAAAAAUAAAAAUAAAAAUAAAUAAAAUAUGAUAGGUAUUAUUAGCCCUGUAGGUGAACUUUUUAAAAACUUAAAAAACAGCUAUAAAAAAAACUAAGCCCAGAGUCUAUGUUUCAAGUCAUGAAAAGAUUAUUGUUUUGAAGGCGUUAUAUGGUUCUGCUUUGAAAAUAUGUUUUAGGGUUUUUUGUGUUUUCUUCUAGAUCCCUUUUAGACAGAACUUUACAUUUUUUCAGUAAGCUCUACUGAUGCAUGCUGCUUUUGUUUUACCUCUAGUUAUAUAUUCAUAUGACUGUUUUGAAUUCAGUUAUCUCUGUAGAAAAAAUUUGGUGAUUCAAGGAAUGAAAUUGUUAUACAAAAUAAUGACUAAUUAUAUUAGUCUUUCUAUCUGUGUAAUGUGACAAGUUAGGUUACAGAGCUACAUGCUAAGUUACAAAUGGGGCAAAGCUAAAAUCAGAAUUUUUUAGUUCUUUGUUUACUGUUUAAGCAACUGGAAUGUAAUAAAGAGCAUAUAGAUUCUUCCUUUUUAUACCAUUUCAAUAAAGCUAAAGACUGUAAAAUGUCUUUGCUUUUUAGUCUGUUGUAGACAGCAAACGAAACUCUAAGAAUGACGCUUUUUGAUUUAUUCUAUUCAAAUGUUCUUUAUCCUUGGUGUUUUACUUUGGGAAUCAUUUUUUUAAAAUUUUUCUGUGUGUUUCUUAAUAUGCAAACACUGCCAGUUCUGUGGUUCCUUACUCUUUAUGUGGAUUGUCACUUAGUUCUCUGAUUUUCCAACUUCUAUUUUUACUGUCUCCAAUAUAUCUUGCUUUCUAGUAGCAUUCUAAUAAUAUUUCUAAAAUAGUGCCUUUAUAACUUCUCUCUGCUCAUGGGCUAGCCAUGGCUCCUGGUUACCUUUCAUUUCAAGUUCAAAUCUGUCCUCUGUAGUCUGUUCUCACUUAACCUCCCUAUUAUACAUUUUCUCUGUGAUCUCAAUCCUGCAGUGCCAUGAGAGAAAAAUGCCUUUCUUCAGUGUUACUCCAUUUUUCUGGUCUGGAUAGCCUUUGCUCCUUUCUUGCAAGUUUAAGUCCUUUCCUCUUUAAAGGAUCAUCACAAAACCUACCUUUCUGUGAAUUAAAUGCAGUCAGCAUUGAUCUAUCAACUUAAUGCCUUAAGAGUCUUUAGUUACAAGUAAUAAAACUAGCUUAAGCUAGUUUAAGUUAGGGUAAUCUGAAAAGGAGGAAUUUAUCUUAAGGAUACAGAUUUCCUAGAAUUCAAGGGCAAGAAUAGAUGCAGGCCGCAGUAAAGCCUUGGUGGUAGUAACAUUGCCCUCUUGGUUCACUCUGGAGUACUUACGAAAGCUGAUGAUUCUCUCCCUGCUGUUUGGGUACGUUUGUCUUCUGUUAUGCCAUGCUGUCAUUCCCUAAAAGAAAUUAAUAUGUUGUCAGUAGUUUAGGACGUAUCUUUCUAUAGAUUUGUCUAUGCUUAUGCAAACAUACCCUCAUACUAUCUUUUCUCCUGACAUGAAAAUGGGGAUCUUUCCUCCUAAUUUAAAAAUGUAUUAUAUGCCGUCAUCUGCAACUUCCUUUUUUAAAAACAAACAAAAAAAUUCACAAUGAAAUCAAUUCAGUACGUACAUCUUUUUGUUUAUAAUGUUUUCGUGUGGAUGGAUGUUGCAUAAUUAAUCAUUUUCCUACAAAUGAACAUUUAAGUGAUACCGAUACAUAUGUUGUACUUUUAUUUAUGUAAGAUGGAUUGUUAAAAGUGCAGUUUAUGGGAGUAUACUUAGACAAUGUGUAGGAAAUUUAUCAUUUUCAAGGAAAAUAUAAAUUGCCUAAAGUGGCUCAAGCAGUGGAAACCCUGAAGAGCCCAGAAACUGUAGAAGAGCUUGCAAAGGUUGGAAGGCCUAAAAUCUAAAGAGGUACCAGGCCCAUGUGGUAUUUUUGGUGCAAUCGUGUAAUUUUAAGGAGUAGGCAAUUUUCAUGUUUAGUGAACUAAUUCCAGAGGAGAUGAAAUUGUGGAAAUUAUUCCGAUUUUAUUUUACAUAUUCUCCAUAAUGCCAACAUCAAAACUAUUAAAGAUAGCAGAAAAUUCUGAAUAAAAUUUUGUCAGGUCAAAACCAGCACUUUAUUAAAGAAAAAUAUGCUUAACUAAUGUAAAAACAGUUCAACAUUAUACUUGCUGUUCAUUUCAUUGUAUAGUAUACAGGUUUCCUUCACUAUCUGAAACAAGAGUGGUCCUAUGAAACCUUUUGUAGGCUGAAAAUGGUAUAAAGUGAAGAAACAAUUACCAUUCCUUUAGGUGGAAAAGUUUUGGGUGUUCUCAGAGCCAAAAAAUAACCUUAGUCUUAGGCUUUUCUGAUAUCUUGAGGCAUAUCUUGUUGGUGGAGGCAGAAAUAAUUGCGAUAAAAGCACAGAUGCUCACAAACACAGUUCAAAGCUAUGGCCAUGUUGAAUGCUGACAUGUUGAUUUGUAGUUCCUGGGGAAGGAGCUUGGUGGUGCCACUCACUGCUUGGGGUGUGCACUGCCUCUAUAAGAGCUCGCUGCGAACAAAGGCUGAAAGCUGUUUCUGCUCUUUACCUUUUGUGUAAAACCAUGUCUUUUGGUCAGCAAAAACAUACUAAUGUAGGUCUUGUAAGUGAAGUGGCAUAAUGCAAACUUUUUGAAAAGUGAACUUUCAAAAAGCAGGGGAUACCUGUAUAAAAAGAAAUAGUUGAAUUUAGAUCGUUACAGUUUUUCCUAUUUCUUUAUCUUUUUUCUUUUUAAAAAGUUUUUAUUAUUUUUUUAGUGUCUUUCUUUUAACAGUGUAUUGAGAUCAGGAAGCAUAUUGGUUGAUUACCAUUUGUUUUCUAUGUAAAAUACAUAAAACUUCUUAUGAAUGUAUAACUGCAUUUGUAAUUGUUACUCUGGUAGUGCCAACUUUUUUACUUUUUUAGGUAACAUCAUGGCUCACAAAUUCUUAAAUAAGCAAAAAAUUGCUUCUCAAUAGCAUGAAUUUAUAUACCAUGAGUGACCUCUAAUAGCACGAUUUUAUAUUCUUUGAGCAUUAUGUUUGCCUCCAAGUUUAUGGCUGUUAUACAGUCUUUUCUGCAGAGGUGUGAUUGGGUACUUGUGUACUGAUGUGAGGAGUGUAGUGUUGAAUGAUACCUAUUUUGUUUUGAUUUCCACCGUUUAGUGUCUACAUCCCACAAUUUUGUGCUGGCAUCAGGUUUGUUCAGAAAAAACUCAGUUGGUUUAUGGCAGAAUUCACUUGCUUUGUUUGAGAAUUUCAAAAUUUUCGUGGCUUCGUACCACUUUUUGAUAAAGUUUCAUAACUGUGGUCUAGACGCAAAGAGGUCAUUCUCCUCACAUCAAAAUGUAAGCUGUUUGCUUAUGCUGUGAUAAGGAGGUAUGCCAAUGUGGAGGCCGUAGUGAUCCAAGGACAACAUUUUAAGAAACAGUGACUUAGGAUACACUAGUAAUCACUAUAAACAUUUUUAUGUGUGUAUUCCUGACUUCUUACUAUGAGUCUGUAUGGGUCUAUGUCUCUUCUGUAUACACCUAUUAAUUUUUGAGCAGAUUAAACCCUAAUAUGUCUACUGUUUGUUUCUUGUUUUUUUUUUUCAUUGAAUGCAUCUUGGAUCUCUUCCUAUCAAUAAAUGUAGGUUUGCAGUAUUGUUUUUUUAAAAAAAAUUUUUUUUUUCAACGUUUAUUUAUUUUUGGGCAGAGAGAGACAGAGCAUGAACGGGGGAGGGGCAGAGAGAGAGGGAGACACAGAAUCAGAAACAGGCUCCAGGCUCCGAGCCAUCAGCCCAGAGCCUGACGCGGGGCUCGAACUCACGGACGGCGAGAUCGUGACCUGGCUGAAGUCGGACGCUUAACCGACUGCGCCACCCAGGCGCCCCAUGCAGUAUUGUUUUUAAAACAAUAAUAUUCCAUUAAAUGAAAAUACUAUAAUUUAUUUAUUUUACUAUUUUCUUUAAUCUUUUUUUUUUUUUUUUUCCAACGUUUAUUUAUUUUUGGGACAGAGAGAGACAGAGCAUGAACGGGGGAGGGGCAGAGAGAGAGGGAGACACAGAAUCGGAAACAGGCUCCAGGCUCUGAGCCAUCAGCCCAGAGCCCGACGCGGGGCUCGAACUCACGGACCGCGAGAUCGUGACCUGGCUGAAGUCGGACGCUUAACCGACUGCGCCACCCAGGCGCCCCUUUAAUCUUUUCUUUUUUAAAAAGCUUAUUUAUUUUGAGACAGAGAGUGCGCGCACACACACAACUAGGGGAGGGGCAGAGAGAGAGGGAGAGAGAAUCCUAAGCAGGCUCCCCACUGUCAGCGCAGAGCCCGAUGUGGGGCUUGAUCUCACAAACCAUGAUAUCAUGACCUGAGCUGAAAUGAAGAAUUCGACACUUAACUGACUGAGCCAUCCAGGCUCCCUGUGAAAAUACCAUAAUUUACUUAUUGGUGGACAUUUUGUUAUUUUUGAUUUUGUGAUUUUGUAAGCGAUGCUGCAAUGAGCAUGAUUAUUACCAUUAAGAUACCUUUCUAGAAGUGAAUCAGUAGUUCUAUACUUGCUUUCCAGUUGUGUAUAGAUUUAUAUUUUCUUGUAUAUUAAAAAAUAUAUACUAUUGUGUAUGUAACUAUAUGUAACAUAACUAUGAAUUGUUUAUAAUAAAUAUAAAUGAAUAUAUUACAUAGCAAACUGUUCUUUGUAAAGAUUGUAUCAUUAGUAUAUCAUAGUGACUCUGUUACUAGAAAAUGAAAUUUUAAAAACGAAGGCAUACAAAAUACAAGUCAAAAUGUUUAUUAUUCGAUUCAACAGAUAUGAAUUUAACUCAGUUUGCUACAGUAGUUUCUAAAUGCUUACUCUCAGUUUCCAUACAUAUGUCGUCAUGGACUAGUGACAGAUGUUUUAUGGACCAUCGGCAGGACCAUAUUUUUAGUAGCACUAUUUUAUUUUGGCCUAGGAGUCAACGUAGAAGGGGGCAAAAGAGGCUGGGGUGAGGUUUAUAUUUCAUCCAUAUACGGUCAUUUAAUCCUCUUGCUUUUGAUAUGGUACCCACUCUCUCACCUGUGUCUGGUAUCCCCUGUUUAAGAGAGUGUGUUUACUUUUUGCAGAGAAUAAACUGCUGCUGUGGUGGGGAAAUAGCAGUUACCUAGCCUGGAGUGAGAAAGGGAAUCUUGGCAUCAAACCAGAACUCAAGCAGCUUUCUCCAAAUUUCUCUUUGUUUUAGCUUUCUCCUCCCUUCUUCCCAUUUCAUAGUUACUUUGUACUGCCAGUUCCUAAGCCUUUCAAAGAUUCAGAGUGUAAAAUAGGUUAGUUCUUAGCUUUCGCCACUGUCUGUCUGGGAUUCAGUUUUCUUGGGUCUGCAGGGUCAUUUACUAAUUUUUCUGCUUUCCAGCAUUUAGGAAGUUGUUGCUAUUGUCAUGUUUCCUGUUUCCUAUUAAUUUUUCUUUAAGGACUCCUUACCUAUUUGUCAUGUUGUGAAUGUGCCCCUCCUCUAGUUUUUUUUUGCUUUUCUUAACUAUUAACAAAAUAUUUACUUUUAUUUCUAUUUUGUAGAUUUUGUUCUUGACAGAUAUUUCUUCUAUAACACAUUAUUCCUUUCUUUUAGUCCUUGUUUUUCUGAUUGAAAUUUGAUUUUGCUGAAGUAUUUACUUGAAACUUUAUUCCAGAAAGAGUACAUGUAUAGCGUAUUCUCUAAAUCAUUUUGCACAUCUAAAAUUGUGCUUUUCCCUCAUGCAUUUUCCUAGGUAUAGAAUUAAUUCUUUGGUUAAUCAGUUUUCCUCAGAACUCUAUAUAUUCUAACAUUUAGAAUUGUGACUAAAAUGUCUGAUUAAUAUUAAUUUCUGCUUAAAGUUGGCAUUGUUGAUGAAAAAUCAGAUACCUUUUUAGAUAAUUCUCCCUCUACCUUUUUUUUUGUAGCAUUUCAUUUUUUCUUUUUAAACUCAAAAAUUUGACUAGGAUAAGUUGUAAACAUUGAGGUUUAUAUUCUCUUCUCACUAAUCUUGCUUGACUUUUGAGGAACUUUUGAUUUUGAAAAUUCAGGUCUUUAAAAAAAAAAAACCCAAAACUCAAGAUUUUUUUCUUGUUUUCAAAAUCAUUAUUUCUCUGCUAUCUGCUACUUUUUUCUCUCCUUCAUGACAAUAUGUUCUUAGUUUUCUUUUUUUAGUAUAUCAUCUCAGGUCUUGCUAAAAUUGCCAAUUACUACUUGAUUCUUCCCCUCUAAGCCUUCUUUUUUCUGCAGUAGUGGCUUUCAUGUAGUUACUAUUUUUCAUUGCCGGAUGGGGGAAUGAGGAAGGGUUUCUCAGUGCUCAGUUGUUUUCUCUUUGUUGAGCUGUUUCAGCUAGUGAUGUUUCUGCCUACUCCCCUCCCCACCUUUUUUUUUUUUUUUUGAGAGAGAGAGAGAAUCUUAAGCAGGCUCCACACUCAGUGCAGAGCCGACAUGGGGCUUGAUCCCACAACUCCAGGAUGGUGACCUGAGCCGAAAUCAAGAGUCGGAUGCUCACCCAACUUAAGCACCCAGGUGUCCGGAGAUGAAUUCUUUAAGAAUGAACCAAUUUUUUUUUUCAGUUUUUUAGUUAAAAGGAGGUGAAAAGCUAAUGUAAUUUUUUCCUGACAGCUUAGAGAUAAUUUACUUAUGUCGAUAAAGGACAGAACUGUUAAACAGAGGAAGAUAGGCAUGGAUAGAGGAAGAUUUAUCUUUGUUCAGAAAUAAUUUUCUCUUUAUAUCUUUCUCAACAGCUGGUGCUAGCAACUCCCAGCUCGGCCCCUGGACCUAGCUCAAAACUCUGGAUUCAUUCUCUUCCUUCCCGUACCUCAGCCCGAGCUUUCUGUCUCCCCAAAGGGUACCACAUGAUCUUCCUCUCAAGUCCUCACUUCCUCGAAUCCCAAGGUAUGUAGGGAAGGAGUAGGCUGAAUUAUGUCCUUUACUUUCUUACGGCAUAAUAGAUGCUUAUUAUAUGUUAGUUAAAUGCAUGUCCCCUAGUGAAAUUCUUCCUUGAGAGUGGUGCUUGACAGUGAAUUAGCAUUUGUAUUCACUCUCCUCUCUCUGGACUCUAUCUUAGCAAACACGUUGCAGUAUGUGUAUGGAAUCUUUUUCUAGUUUCUUGUCAUUUUGUAGGUCUUUAUUGUAUUUUUUGGUUUGUGUUUCAGUGGGCAGUUGGAAGAAGGAAAUCAAACGGCUUAAGUUGCCACCUUGAUGCAGGAAACUCUCCAGGUUACUUGAAAGGGCCAGGCAUACUUUAUGCAAAUAGUAUUAUUUCAAGGCUUGAUGAGAUGUUGGUUAAGUCUUAUGAGGUAGUAAUAUGUAGAGAGAGGACAGUAGUUUCAGUGGCAGAUUUAAAAUCAGUAAUCUUUUUGGUAAGGUAAAGAUUGAACUGUAGUGAAAAGAGCAUUAGCUAGUAGGUUGGAAGAUUAUAAUUCCUCAUUCUUUUUUUUAUGUUUUCUGAUGUGUUCACAACACAAUACAUUUUUUUGCCCAUAGGUGGUAACCAUAUUGUAAUUUGCUACCAGGUGUCGUCUUUGAUUGCUUCCGCAUACUUAGGUUGAACAUAGUUGAAGACAAAUAGAUUUUCCCCAUUUCAAAUUUGAGGGUGAAAAACCCCAAACUACCUAAAAUACACAACCCCCCCCAAUGCUGUAUUGUACAUGCCAUACAUUAAAUAUGAAAAAAUAUUGAUACUCAGUAUUGAUUACUUAGCAGUUACUAAACUUAAGUAAAAGCUAAGUGGAUUUCUUAAUAAGGUGGUCCCUUUUAUUAAUUGUUUUGCCUAUGAGGAAAGGACGUGCACUUUAAUGGAUGGAAUUUGUGAACUCUGUUUUGGCUGCCAUGUAUCCCACUUAAUUAUUUUCUAUUCUUUGUGUCCUGGAACGGUGAGGUUGCUGAAAUGUCAACUCUGAACAAGCAAUGUAUUCAUGUAUAUGUCCUGCCUCUUCCUUUAGACUGUAAGCUGCAGUAGGGUAGAGACCAUGUUUUUGACUCUUUCCAUAGCACCCAGCAAAAUGCCUCACAAUCACAGUUGUUAUUUAUUAGUAAGUUUUGGUUGGUUGACUUGUUUAAAAUCCUAUUUUUAAACUGGUUGCCAGACUCUGGGGUAUGUGUUAUGUUAUAAGAAAAAUUUUAAAUUGUACAGAUAUUUUGAAAUGGAAUUGAUGAUAUUUAGAAAUCCUAUCAAUCUAUUUUUAGCAUUACCUAUAUAUUUUUGGACACAUGUACUGUUACCGCAAGAAACAAUUUGCCUUUUAUAAUAAAACCCACGAUAUAGUCUCCUCUUGAUUACAUGUAUAAUAGAAAGGCUUGAGUAUGGAUGGUCCAGAGUGACCAUAAUAUGAUAUUUAGGCAAAUGGGGAAGAACCAUUAUAGGUGUUCUUAAAAGUUUCACAUGUUUGAAUCUCACCCUUAGAUUCUGGUAUGGGGAAAACUCCAUAGGUGAUUAUGAUGCUGGUCACUGUUGAGAAUGUGACAGUCUGCAGGGAAUCUUCUCAGUUGGUGUGGAGUAUCCACCAGGUGUCGUGAACUUUCUUCUGGCCAUUUGUUAGUUUUUCUUACUUUCGAAGGAAAAGUUUUUACAUUUAGCUUUAAAUAAUAUAGUAAAUUUUUAGUAAAAAUUUUAAUAAUUUACUGAGUUAGACACAGUCUGUAAAAACAUUUAGGAAACCAGUGUGUGCUUUGGCAGCACUUAUACUAAAGUUAGAACAAUACAGAGAAGAUCAGCAUGGCCCCUGCGCAAGGAUGACACGCAGAUUCGUGAAGCGUUCCGUAUUUUGUGCAGUUCCCGAGUGUCCUACCACCCACGGCAGAUUAACUCUGAGGAAAUGAUAUGAGUCAGAGGAUGGUGUGUAGCACUGAAUAGUGAAAUUCUGAUUUUUCACUAUUAAAAAAAAAUUCAGUAGACUGGUACCCUACUAAUGAAUUAUCAGUUUAGUAUUUAUAUAUUUGAGACUACUAAAGAAUGUGUUUUUUAGACCCAACCAAAAUUACUAAGUGUGAGAAAUAUUAAGAGUCUCUUAAUAUGUAAUGUGAUGUAACUUUUAUCUAUGGUUUCUUAAUAAAGGACUUCUGAAAUAGUAAUGUUUCUUGUUACUUAGAUUAAUUGAAAACAUUUUUAAAGUUUUUAUUUAUUUGAUCUCUCUGCCCAGUGUGAGGCUUGAACUCACAACUUCGAGAUCAAGAGUUGCAUGCUCUUCCAACUAAAUCAGCCAGGUGCCCCUAGAUUAAUUGAAAUUUAAACCUGAGACCUUUGAAUAGACAUUAUGGGUGAAGCUCAAUGUGAUUUACACUUUAUUUUCUUUAGUUUAUCUAGUUUUCUGUUACUCACAAUAUAUAUUUAAGAUCACAAAAGUAAGAGAAGACAAUUUUUCCAGUACACAUUUUGCUAUUCUGCGGAACCUUCAGUAUUCAGAUUUCAAUCUCACCGAUGUAUUAUCACAUCUUACUAUUUUACUAUUUUUUAUUCCUUUGCAGUUUGACUCAUAAUGUGUCAUUCCAUGGUCAUCACAGUAGUGAUAGCUACAAUUUAUAUAGCACUUUACAGGAUACCGUUACAUAUAUUUUCUUAUUUAAUCUUUACAACAACCCUGUGAAAGGGGAAGUGCUAAUUUUUCUUUUUCACUUUAUAGAUGAAGAAACGAAGACAGAGAUUGAGACUUGUCUAGAGUAACACAAACCAGUAAGUGUUGGAAUUAAUGGAGGCAGGUAGUAAUGGGUGCCUUCUCCUAUGCCAGGGGCUUUCCUUGCUGCCAUGUACCUGGGUUCUAGGGACAAAGAGCCAAGAUGGUCAGGAACCAAAAAGGUAGUAGGUGGACUUAAUCGUACCCCAGCAAAAUGUGUUAUUCCUUCUCAUUUCUUUCUCUCUCUCUCUCUCUCUUUUUUUUUACACCAUUUAGUAGUGAUAACUUGAAAGAGCACAUAAUAUCUUUUUGUUGUUGUUGGAUAAGUGAAACUUAUUUUAAACAUAAGUUAUCCCUGAGGCACUAAGGAAGUAGAAAAUCUGGAGGGAAGUCUGUUGAAUUUCUCAGAGGGUAAUAGCUAUAGGGUCAGCUAAGGAAGGGAGAAAGUUACUAGUACAUGUGUGUAAUUGGAACUGAAAUUUUUAUGGCUCUCAUUAAGAUUUUUCAAAUCCUGUUUAAAGAUUGUAAUAUCAAUUUCAUAUAGCAAUCUUAGAGCUUAAGGGUGCUUAUCCACUUGUGGUUUUCUUUAGAUGACAGAACCGAGGUGCAGAGAAGUCGAAGCCUGCCUGGUGUCCCAGAGAGUGGCUGCAGGUAGAGCUUGUAGCUGCUGACUUCCUGAUUAGCGCCAUCUCUGCUUCCAACUCUUACCUCUUGGUAAGCUGUCCUUGAAGUACUCCACAGUCUUUUCUAUCUCUUUUUAUGUGUUUGAUCAACAUUGGCAUUUUGUAUCAAAAUGAACUUUAAAAUUCAUGAAAAUUACUGAUGCUUACGUGAUGAAAAUUAAAUUCUUUGUUUGAUUUCAGGUGAGUUAAUGUGGGAAAAAUCCUCGUAUUUUGAAGAUGUCUUGCAACAGUAUUGUUUCCUGUUUAAGUUACAAGUAACUUCAGUUUUUAGAGAAAAAAGAAAUUGGGUUUUUUUGUUAAAUCAUGCCAUCUGAACAGAAACAGUUAUUUUUUGAUGAAAAACAAACUAUUUUAAAAAAAGAUUAUGAUGUGAAAAAUGAGAUAGUUGAUACUAUUAGAUCAGUGCUUAGGCCAAAAAUUUCAGAAAGUCGUUUUCAUUAUGAACUAAAAAAUGUGAAAAUCGAUUUGCCGAAGAUAAAUAUUCCAAAUGAAGUCUUUUUGAAACAUGAAGUUGACAAAUACAGAAAGUUAUUUCAGCGUCAACCACAGACUGCAAGAAAAUCUAUCAGUAUAAAGACUGUAAGCUGUGUAGAGGAGUGUAUGCUGCUCCAGAAGUCUGAGAGAGUUGAAGAAGAGGGUUUAAAAAUGUCGGCAAAAAUACUCAAUUUCAACUGUUUAAAAUGCCGAGAUAGCACUCGAUAUAGCCCAAAUGAUUUACAGAAACACUUUCAGAUGUGGCAUCGUGGUGAAUUACCUUCAUAUCCUUGUGAAAUGUGCAGUUUUUCAGCAAAUGACUUCCAGAUAUUUAAACAACACAGACGGACACACAGAAGCACUUUAGUAAAAUGUGACAUUUGUAACAAUGAGAAUGUGUAUACUUUAUUAGACUUGACAAAGCAUUUUACAUCCACACAUUGUGUAAAUGGUAAUUUUCAAUGUGAAAAGUGCAAAUUCUCCACCCAGGAUGUUGGCACAUUUGUUCAGCACAUUCAUAGACAUAAUGAAAUCCAUUAUAAAUGUGGUAAAUGCCAUCAUAUAUGUUUUACCAAAGGAGAGCUUCAGAAGCACCUUCACAUUCAUUCUGGUACAUUUCCCUUCACUUGUCAAUAUUGUAGCUAUGGUGCCACUAAGAGAGAGCACCUCGUAAGACAUGUUAUAACUUUGCACAAAGAACACUUAUAUGCGAAAGAGAAACUGGAAAAAGACAAAUAUGAAAAAAGGAUGACAAAGACUUCAGGACUUAAGCUGAUACUGAAAAGAUACAGAAUAGAUGCAUCAAGGAAGACAUUCUGGAAACGCAAGAAGAUCAACAAUGGAAGCGAC